AAAUCGAGCUGCAUUUUGUUUUCCUACAAAGAUAUCUGGUUUCCUCUGUCUGUUGCCCUUUGUGAACGUGUGUUGCUGUGUGCAGUGAAAUGCAGGGUAAAUUCCUGUGCCAGCACAGCCACCUCAUAACCCAGCUGUGCCAGAGCAUCACCACUGCUCCUGCCUCUGCUCCAACAACCCUGCCAUGGCAUGAAGAGACUCAAACAGCAUUUUGCCUGCCCCAGGUACAGAUUGAUGUCUGCAAACUUUCUGCCUAUUAAAAUUGUGCCUCCAUCAGCAUCUCCUUCUGCAGGAACUUUGCGUGAUCUUAAAAUGAAGCUUGUCUGGGUGACACCUGGGCUGCUGGAACCUGUUUGUGGUGCUCAGUGGUUGUGCAUCUCUGAUGACAGUGAUGCCCCCCAAAAUCCCGGGGGGCUGAACCCCACCAGGAGUGGGAGUUGUGCUCUGGACACCACAGGCUGUGACGAGCCCAUCCCUGGGCAGAUGUUAAUCUGAAAACUUCAGCUCUUUGUGCUCAAAUUCUGCACUGGGUUUAGUCACCCAAAGGAAGAGUCACUGUGUUAAGCUGCUGGAAGGCUGGACUUGGUGAUCAAAGUCAGGACUGAGUUGAAGGUUGGACUUAAUGAUCUUGGAGGUGUUUUCUGACCUUAAUGACUCUAUGAUUCUAUGAAGUGUGUUUUUCUUGAACAACCCUCCAUUGCCCACGUGUGCCUGGGUCUGUGUCUGCUGGUGAAGUGUUCUCCAGUGGGUUGGGGCCGUGGGGAUCCUGCACCUUUGGCAGCACAAAAGCAGCUCAGCCACAGCUCUGUGGUGAGAUUCCCCAUGGCCAUGUGAGGCCCCUGUGAUGGUGGGACAGCUGAAUGGUGAGCCAUGAGCAGUCCUACAUGGCAGAGGGAAAACAGAGAGCUUGGCCAGGACCUUUGGACCAAAGAAGUUGGAGAUCUGUAAGGGAAAGAGCUAUU
This is a long non-coding RNA of Manacus vitellinus (golden-collared manakin), 962 nucleotides long. RefSeq lists it as uncharacterized. The transcript is spliced from 4 exons. The record is from RefSeq and is a predicted model, not a curated record. Lineage: Eukaryota; Metazoa; Chordata; Aves; Passeriformes; Pipridae.